CCUACGGGAGGCAGCAGUGAGGAAUAUUGGUCAAUGGACGAGAGUCUGAACCAGCCAAGUAGCGUGAAGGAUGACUGCCCUAUGGGUUGUAAACUUCUUUUAUAUGGGAAUAAAAUGUUCCACGUGUGGGAUUUUGUAUGUACCAUAUGAAUAAGGAUCGGCUAACUCCGUGCCAGCAGCCGCGGUAAUACGGAGGAUCCGAGCGUUAUCCGGAUUUAUUGGGUUUAAAGGGAGCGUAGGUGGAUUGUUAAGUCAGUUGUGAAAGUUUGCGGCUCAACCGUAAAAUUGCAGUUGAAACUGGCAGUCUUGAGUACAGUAGAGGUGGGCGGAAUUCGUGGUGUAGCGGUGAAAUGCUUAGAUAUCACGAAGAACUCCGAUUGCGAAGACAGUUCACUGGACUGCAACUGACACUGAGGCUCGAAAGUGUGGGUAUCAAACAGGAUGAGAUACCCCAGUAGUC
This 460-nucleotide ribosomal RNA is filed under the name uncultured bacterium. RNAcentral's name for it is "partial 16S ribosomal RNA". It matches the Rfam family "Bacterial small subunit ribosomal RNA", at positions 338 to 795 of the family's 1533-position model. The record is from RNAcentral.